GCUUAACACAUGCAAGUCGAACGGGAUCCAAUGAAGCUUGCUUUGUUGGUGAGAGUGGCGAACGGGUGAGUAACGCGUGAUUAACCUGCCGUGUAGUGGGGAAUAGCUCCUGGAAACGGGUGGUAAUGCCCUAUGUUCCGCAUUGUCGCAUGAUGGUGUGGGAAAGCUUUAUGUGCUAUACGAUGGGAUCGCGUCCUAUCAGCUUGUUGGUGGGGUAGUGGCCUACCAAGGCUUCGACGGGUAGCCGGCCUGAGAGGGCGACCGGCCACAUUGGGACUGAGAUACGGCCCAGACUCCUACGGGAGGCAGCAGUGGGGAAUAUUGCACAAUGGGGGAAACCCUGAUGCAGCGACGCCGCGUGCGGGAUGACGGCCUUCGGGUUGUAAACCGCUUUUAAUUGGGAGCAAGCGCAAGUGAGUCUACCUUUUGAAUAAGCACCGGCUAACUACGUGCCAGCAGCCGCGGUAAUACGUAGGGUGCAAGCGUUGUCCGGAAUUAUUGGGCGUAAAGAGCUCGUAGGCGGUUUGUCGCGUCUGGUGUGAAAGUCCAUCGCUUAACGGUGGAUCUGCGCUGGGUACGGGCAGGCUAGAGUGUAGUAGGGGAGACUGGAAUUCCCGGUGUAACGGUGGAAUGUGUAGAUAUCGGGAAGAACACCAAUGGCGAAGGCAGGUCUCUGGGCUAUUA
RNAcentral lists this ribosomal RNA (684 nucleotides) under Alloscardovia theropitheci. RNAcentral's name for it is "Bacterial small subunit ribosomal RNA". It matches the Rfam family "Bacterial small subunit ribosomal RNA", at positions 46 to 739 of the family's 1533-position model. Lineage: Bacteria; Bacillati; Actinomycetota; Actinomycetes; Bifidobacteriales; Bifidobacteriaceae. The record is from Rfam by way of RNAcentral.